RNAcentral lists this ribosomal RNA (589 nucleotides) under Lodderomyces parapsilosis. RNAcentral describes it as "Candida parapsilosis partial large subunit ribosomal RNA". It matches the Rfam family "Eukaryotic large subunit ribosomal RNA", at positions 68 to 664 of the family's 3401-position model. Lineage: Eukaryota; Fungi; Ascomycota; Pichiomycetes; Serinales; Debaryomycetaceae. The record is from RNAcentral.
ACGGGGCAAUGCCUUAGUAGCGGCGAGUGAAGCGGCAAAAGCUCAAAUUUGAAAUCUGGCACUUUCAGUGUCCGAGUUGUAAUUUGAAGAAGGUAUCUUUGGGUCUGGCUCUUGUCUAUGUUUCUUGGAACAGAACGUCACAGAGGGUGAGAAUCCCGUGCGAUGAGAUGUCCCAGACCUAUGUAAAGUUCCUUCGAAGAGUCGAGUUGUUUGGGAAUGCAGCUCUAAGUGGGUGGUAAAUUCCAUCUAAAGCUAAAUAUUGGCGAGAGACCGAUAGCGAACAAGUACAGUGAUGGAAAGAUGAAAAGAACUUUGAAAAGAGAGUGAAAAAGUACGUGAAAUUGUUGAAAGGGAAGGGCUUGAGAUCAGACUUGGUAUUUUGUAUGUUACUCUCUCGGGGGUGGCCUCUACAGUUUACCGGGCCAGCAUCAGUUUGAGCGGUAGGAUAAGUGCAAAGAAAUGUGGCACUGCUUCGGUAGUGUGUUAUAGUCUUUGUCGAUACUGCCAGCUUAGACUGAGGACUGCGGCUUCGGCCUAGGAUGUUGGCAUAAUGAUCUUAAGUCGCCCGYCUUGAAMMAMGGRAAMCAAA